GAUCCGUAGUGCGGUGAGGAGCAGUCGUGUUCGUGCCGCGUUUCCCAGUGUGUUCGUGCCGGUAACGCGUAACACUGUGGUCUGCUCCUCGCACCAGGUGCGAUCCCCGGUGGUUGGUUCAGGGCUGGUGACAAGUGGCAGUCCCGGAGCGCGGUGCUCGGUCGAUCCGUCGACGGACACGUUGCGACACGGUGAAAGGUGAAGAGGAGCGACGAGAGCAGGUCCGUGGAGAGCUUGAGCAGGCCGAGAGAAGAGAGGAUCUCAGUGUGGCACAGCGCGCGUCCAUCGCGAACUAAUUCUCCACGGACGUUGAUCGGAGUGGGUGGAGAGCAUCGAGGCGUCGUCAACGAAACGGUAGGUUCCCGGAAGAGUGUGCUCGGCCAGGUUCAUCCAGCUAAACUGCGAGACGGCAUGUUCGCCGAGUGAAACUCUUUGACUGGAAGCUUGCAUACCAAAGAUCCCGAGCCGCGCAACCGUUCCGCCGCGUCGUCGAUUUGCUCCGACUGAUCUUCCCGGCUGUCCUGUGGCCAGCAAAGCAGACCAAAGAGCGCGGUGAUUCUACGUGAAAAGAUUUGGGAAUGCUGUGAAUGCGCAAACAUCUGCAGUUUAUUUGACGAGAACGCCAUUAAGAGUC
This is a non-coding RNA of Megalopta genalis, 634 nucleotides long. The record is from RefSeq and is a predicted model, not a curated record. Lineage: Eukaryota; Metazoa; Arthropoda; Insecta; Hymenoptera; Halictidae.